Molecule: non-coding RNA, 42 nt
Organism: Schistosoma mattheei
Lineage: Eukaryota; Metazoa; Platyhelminthes; Trematoda; Strigeidida; Schistosomatidae
Source: Rfam
AUCCAGCUGACGAGUCCCGAAUAGGAAACGCGAGUCCUGGAU